RNAcentral lists this ribosomal RNA (432 nucleotides) under unidentified archaeon HB3-1. RNAcentral describes it as "bacterial SSU rRNA". It matches the Rfam family "Archaeal small subunit ribosomal RNA", at positions 414 to 846 of the family's 1478-position model. The record is from RNAcentral.
AUACCGUAAGAGGUACACGAAUAAGAGCUGGGCAAGACCGGUGCCAGCCGCCGCGGUAACACCGGCAGCUCGAGUGAUGGCCGAUAUUAUUGGGCCUAAAGCGUCCGUAGCUGGCCGGACAGGUCCGUUGGGAAAUCCACUCGCUCAACGAGUGGGCGUCCAGCGGAAACCGUCUGGCUUGGGACCGGAAGACCCGAGGGGUACGUCCGGGGUAGGAGUDAAAUCCUGUAAUCCCGGACGGACCACCGGUGGCGAAAGCGCCUCGGGAAGACGGAUCCGACAGUKAGGGACGAAAGCUAGGGUCUCGAACCGGAUUAGAUACCCGGGUAGUCCUAGCUGUWAACKAUGCCCGCUAGGUGUGGCGCAGGCUACGAGCCUACGCUGUGCCGUAGGGAAGCCGUGAAGCGGGCCGCYUGGGAAGUACGUCUGCWA